RNAcentral lists this ribosomal RNA (253 nucleotides) under uncultured bacterium. RNAcentral describes it as "partial 16S ribosomal RNA". It matches the Rfam family "Bacterial small subunit ribosomal RNA", at positions 524 to 776 of the family's 1533-position model. The record is from RNAcentral.
UACAGAGGGUGCGAGCGUUAAUCGGAGUUACUGGGCGUAAAGGGCGCGUAGGCGGCGCUGCAAGUGGGACGUGAAAUCCCCGGGCUUAACCUGGGAACUGCGUCCCAUACUGCAGUGCUAGAGUACUGUAGAGGGCGGUGGAACUUCCGGUGUAGCGGUGAAAUGCGUAGAGAUCGGAAGGAACACCAGUGGCGAAGGCGGCCGCCUGGACAGAUACUGACGCUGAGGCGCGAGAGCGUGGGGAGCAAACAGG